AGGCGGUUUGCCGCGUCUGCUGUGAAAGCCCGGGGCUUAACUCCGGGUGUGCAGUGGGUACGGGCAGACUGGAGUGCAGUAGGGGAGACUGGAAUUCCUGGUGUAGCGGUGAAAUGCGCAGAUAUCAGGAGGAACACCGAUGGCGAAGGCAGGUCUCUGGGCUGUUACUGACGCUGAGGAGCGAAAGCAUGGGGAGCGAACAGGAUUAGAUACCCUGGUAGUCCAUGCCGUAAACGUUGGGCACUAGGUGUGGGGGACAUUCCACGUUUUCCGCGCCGUAGCUAACGCAUUAAGUGCCCCGCCUGGGGAGUACGGCCGCAAGGCUAAAACUCAAAGGAAUUGACGGGGGCCCGCACAAGCGGCGGAGCAUGCGGAUUAAUUCGAUGCAACGCGAAGAACCUUACCAAGGCUUGACAUCAACCGGACCGGGCCAGAGAUGGUCUUUCCCUUCGGGGCUGGUUGACAGGUGGUGCAUGGUUGUCGUCAGCUCGUGUCGUGAGAUGUUGGGUUAAGUCCCGCAACGAGCGCAACCCUUGUCCUAUGUUGCCAGCACGUAGUGGUGGGGACUCAUGGGAGACUGCCGGGGUCAACUCGGAGGAAGGUGGGGAUGACGUCAAAUCAUCAUGCCCCUUAUGUCUUGGGCUUCACGCAUGUUACAAUGGCCGGUACAGUGGGUUGCGAUGCCGUGAGGUGGAGCUAAUCCCUAAAAGCCGGUCUCAGUUCGGAUCGAAGUC
Molecule: ribosomal RNA, 734 nt
Filed under: uncultured bacterium
Lineage: Bacteria
Description: bacterial SSU rRNA
Rfam family: Bacterial small subunit ribosomal RNA
Source: RNAcentral